Molecule: ribosomal RNA, 465 nt
Filed under: Vreelandella stevensii
Lineage: Bacteria; Pseudomonadati; Pseudomonadota; Gammaproteobacteria; Oceanospirillales; Halomonadaceae
Description: partial 16S ribosomal RNA
Rfam family: Bacterial small subunit ribosomal RNA
Source: RNAcentral
CCUACGGGCGGCAGCAGUGGGGAAUAUUGGACAAUGGGCGAAAGCCUGAUCCAGCCAUGCCGCGUGUGUGAAGAAGGCCUUCGGGUUGUAAAGCACUUUCAGUUGGGAAGAAAGCCUUGGGGCUAAUACCCUCGAGGAAGGACAUCACCCACAGAAGAAGCACCGGCUAACUCCGUGCCAGCAGCCGCGGUAAUACGGAGGGUGCGAGCGUUAAUCGGAAUUACUGGGCGUAAAGCGCGCGUAGGCGGUCUGAUAAGCCGGUUGGGAAAGCCCCGGGCUCAACCUGGGAACGGCAUCCGGAACUGUCAGGCUAGAGUGCAGGAGAGGAAGGUAGAAUUCCCGGUGUAGCGGUGAAAUGCGUAGAGAUCGGGAGGAAUACCAGUGGCGAAGGCGGCCUUCUGGACUGACACUGACGCUGAGGUGCGAAAGCGUGGGUAGCAAACAGGAUUAGAUACCCCAGUAGUC